UUCCGGUUGAUCCUGCCGGAGGCCAUUGCUAUUGGGGUUCGGCUAAGCCAUGCGAGUGGUGGGCGUUCCGAAAGGGAUGGCCCCGCACACGGCUCAGUAACACGUAGUUAACCUGCCCUCGGGACGGGAACAACGCCGGAACUGGCGAUAAUUCCAGAUAGGUGGGGGACGCUGGAAUGCCUCCUUGCCUAAAUCCUCUGGGGCCCGAGGAUGGGACUGCGGCCUAUCAGGCUGUUGGCGGUGUAACGGACCACCAAACCUACAACGGGUACGGGCGAUGGGAGUCGGAGCCCGGAGAUGGGGACUGAGACAAGGCCCCAGGACCUACGGGGCGCAGCAGGUACGAAAACUCCGCCAAUGCGCGAAAGCGUGACGGGGGAACCCCAAGUGCCGUUGUCCUUUGAUCGCCGGCUUUUAGGGAGUCUAAGAAACUCCCGGAAUAAGGGCUGGGCAAGUCGGGUGCCAAGCGCCGGAUAAUAUCCCGGCCCAAGUGGGGGUCGCGAUUAUUGGGCCUAAAGCGCUCGUAGCCGGGUCAGCAAGUCCCUUGUGAAAUCGGGCGGCCUAACCGUUCGGCUUGCAAGGGAUACUGUUGGUCUUGAGGCCGGGAGACGUCUGAGGUACUCCGGGGGUAGCGGUAAAAUGCUGUAAUCCUCGGGGGACCACCAGUGGCGAAGGCGUCAGACGAGAACGGACCUGACGGUGAGGGGCGAAGGCUAGGGGAGCGAACGGGAUUAGAUACCCCGGUAGUCCUAGCUGUAAAGCAUGCGGGCCAGGUGUCUGGUGUUCCUUGAGAGCACCAAGUGCCGGAGGGAAGCCGUUAAGCCCGCCGCCUGGGGAGUACGGCCGCAAGGCUGAAACUUAAAGGAAUUGGCGGGA
Molecule: ribosomal RNA, 876 nt
Filed under: uncultured archaeon
Lineage: Archaea
Description: bacterial SSU rRNA
Rfam family: Archaeal small subunit ribosomal RNA
Source: RNAcentral